Molecule: non-coding RNA, 426 nt
Organism: Cinara cedri
Lineage: Eukaryota; Metazoa; Arthropoda; Insecta; Hemiptera; Aphididae
Source: the annotation of a GenBank genome assembly
UGUCCGGAAUCGUUUCCUCGGGGAUAAUAAUUGCGGCCGUGCUAUAAAUAUACGCGGCGAUGCCGAUUGGUCGCGCGAAAUCGUCCCCCACCUCCGAAAGCGGAUUGCUGCGGCACACCUGGAGUACCGAACAACGCAAUAACUCCCGCGGGAGAUUAAAUUACACCCGCGCUCAAACGCAUUGUUGAUUGUGCGACACGCCUAGUAAUAAUUAUUAUAUCGUUACGUCAGAAAUACGCGGUCAAUUAUAACGCUAUGCCCCGAACAUGUCUUAUGCCGGGUCGCGUAACACCCGUCCGUGAAUUCCGUCGUUUCGAUCGGCGCGGUCCCGUAAAAUUACGAUUAACGAACCGUCCGCUUUGGCACAACGGUGAAUUGUCAUCGUUUCCUAUCCGUGCAUUAGUUAUUUACGGUAUCAUUGGCGUA